RNAcentral lists this transfer RNA (65 nucleotides) under Dipodomys ordii (Ord's kangaroo rat). It matches the Rfam family "tRNA". From Rfam's summary of the family: Transfer RNA (tRNA) molecules are approximately 80 nucleotides in length. Their secondary structure includes four short double-helical elements and three loops (D, anti-codon, and T loops). The record is from Rfam by way of RNAcentral. Lineage: Eukaryota; Metazoa; Chordata; Mammalia; Rodentia; Heteromyidae.
GGUGGCUCAGUGGUAGAGCACUUGCCUUGCAUGCAUGAGACCCUGGGUUCGAUUCCUUAGCACCA